Molecule: long non-coding RNA, 4962 nt
Filed under: Gossypium barbadense (sea-island cotton)
Lineage: Eukaryota; Viridiplantae; Streptophyta; Magnoliopsida; Malvales; Malvaceae
Description: long non-coding RNA (GBAR_LNC011079)
Source: RNAcentral
UGGAACCCACCCAUUGUUUGAAAAGUCAAAAAGGGUGGGCACCAAAAGUAGAAAGUAAAAUUGGUUGGCAAGUUGGGUUAAAAGUUGGCAUGGGAUAAUUGCAAUUUUGGUCCCUAAUUGUAUAGGGACAUUGCAAGUUGAUCCUUGAACCUCAACUAUAAAUAGGCCUAACCAUUUCUUACUUUCUUCAUCCCACAUUUGCCAUUCUCUACUUAAGGCAUUGUUCUCUCUCCCUAUUUGUAAAAGUUUCACUUGUAUUUUGGAGUGAAAUAUAUUUGGUAGUGCCCGAGGACGUAGGCAAGAUUUGCCGAACCUCGUUAAAAUUCUAGUGUUCUUUAUUAUUUAUUUUGCAUAUUUUGUGAAUGUGAUUGUAGUGAUUUAUUGUGCUAUUAAAUUAUGAUAGAGGGAUAUUCUGGCUAGGAAAGACUUGGUACUUAAGUGAUCCUCGUGAUCCACCUCUCUUUCCUGGGAAUUGAACUUAGUGUGAUUUUUCAGUACAAUAUUUUUACUCUUUCACACGCUUCCGCGCAACAAUUGGUACCAGAGCCAGAUUCGUACUUGGGGAAUACGACCAUUUACGGCACUAUUCACGUAUACAACACUAUUCACGUAUACGAUACUAUUUACGUAUACAGUACUAUUCAUGUAUACAGUAGUUGGGAUUGAGGAGAAAAAUGGCAGCAGCAUCAUCAUCAGCAAGGACUACUGUGACAAAUGCAAAAUUUGAAGUAGAGAAAUUUGACGGUACCAAUAAUUUUGGUAUGUAACAAUGUGAGAUCCUGGAUGUCUUAUGUCAGCAAGAGCUAGAUAUAUCCCUUGAAGAAAAACCUGACAAGAUGGAUGACAAGGAGUGGGCCAAGAUCAAUAGACAGGCGUGUGGUACAAUCCGCCUAUGUUUGGCCAAAGAGCAGAAGUACUCUGUCAUGAGGGAGACAUCAGCGAAGAAGUUAUGGGAUACACUUGAAGAAAAGUUUCUAACGAAAAGUCUUGAAAAUAGGCUUUAUAUGAAAAAGAAACUUUAUCGAUUCACGUAUGCACCCGGUAUGUCGAUGAAUGACCAUGUGAACUCAUUCAAUAAAAUUUUAGCAGACUUGCUAAAUUUGGAUGAGAAAUUUGAAGAUGAAGACAAGGCAUUAUUGUUGUUGAAUUCCCUUCCUGAUGAAUAUGAUCAUCUUACCACCACAUUGCUUCAUGGGAAGGACACGAUUACAUUUGAUGCAGUCUAUAGUGCGUUGUAUAGAUCUGAGACUCGAAAGAAAGAUAAAAGAGAUCACAGAGAUACAACCGCAGAAGUCUUAACAGUAAGAGGUCGUUCACACAGCAGCAAAUCUGGUAGAAGGGGAAAGUCCAAAGGGAGACCCGCCAAAGAUGAAUGUGCCUUUUUCCGUGAAAAAGUUCAUUGGAAAAAGAAUUGUCCUAAGCUACAAAAGGGCAAGGCUAUUUCUAAUGCAUGUGUAGCGGAGCAUGAUGAGGAGUCAGACUUUAGCUUGGUUGGCAUGGCAAUGGCAUGUCAAAUGGAUGAGUGGAUUUUGGAUUCAGGAUGUACUUACCAUAUGUGUCCUAAUAAGGACUGGUUUUCUAGUCUUAAAGAGCUAGAAUAUGGAAUUGUUCUUAUGGGCAAUGAUAGUGCUUGUAAGACAAUGGGAGUGGGUACAGUCCAAUUGAAGAAUCACGACGGCUCAAUCCAAGUCUUGACAGAUGUUCGCUACGUACCUAGCCUGAAGAAAAAUCUCAUCUCAUUAGGGGCCCUAGAAUCUAAAGGGCUCGCAAUCACUUUGAGAGAUGGAUUACUAAAAGUAGUAGCUGGGCAAUUGACGGUGAUGAAAGGCACAAGAAGAAAUAACUUGUAUUUUUUAAAUGAAAGUACAGUUAUUGGAUCAACAUCAACAGUUUCUACAAAAGAUGUAGAUUCUGAGGCUACCAAAUUAUGGCAUAUGCGAUUGGGACAUGCUGGUGAAAAAGCUUUGCAGACUUUGGCGAAGCAAGGCUUGUUGAAAGGUGCAAAUUCUUGCAAAUUGGAAUUCUGUGACCAUUGUGUUUUGGGCAAGCAGACGAGAGUAAAAUUUGGUCCAGCAAUUCACAAUACGAAAGGAAUUCUGGACUACGUUCACAGUGAUGUGUGGGGACCUACCAAAGUGGCUUCUUUGGGAGGUAUGCACUAUUUUGUUACUUUUGUUGAUGAUUAUUCAAGAAAAGUAUGGGUGUAUCUAAUGAAAAGAAAAAGUGAAGUUUUGGAUGCAUUUCUAAAAUGGAAGAAGAUAGUGGAGACUCAGACUGGUCGAAAGGUCAAACGACUUCGAUCAGAUAAUGGCACUGAGUACAAAAAUGAUCCAUUUCUACAAGUAUGUCAAGAUGAGGGCAUUGUGUGACACUUCACUGUUCGGAAUACGCCACAGUAGAAUGGGGUGGCAGAACGCAUGAAUCGAACUAUACUGGAGAAAGUUUGAUGUAUGUUGUCCAAUGCUGGAUUGGGCAAGGAAUUUUGGGCUGAGGCAGUUACAUAUGCGUGCCAUCUAAUUAACCGUCUGCCAUCAGCUGCAAUAAAUGGAAAAACUCCUAUGGAGAUGUGGACUGGUAAAUCUGCUACUGAUUAUGAUUCUUUACAUGUAUUUGGUUCUACUGCAUAUUAUCAUGUAAAAGAAUCUAAGUUAGACCCAAGGGCAAAGAAAGCAUUAUUCUUGGGUAUAACUGAUGGAGUAAAAGGAUACCAUCUCUGGUGUCCUAAUACAAGGAAUAUUGUUUUCAGUAGAGAUGUGACUUUUGAUGAAUCAACCAUUUUAAAGUACAAGGAUUCACAAAAGGAUGACAAAACCAGUAGUACUUUACAGCAGGUGGAGCUUGAAAAGGUUAACGAUGAUCCAGCUAAUAUUGAAGGGACAAAUGGUGAAGAGGUUCCUACCCAAGAACCUCUACAGCAACAAGAUUCAAUUGCAUAUAGAAGGCCAAGAAGAGAGAUUCGUAAGCCUGCUCGCUUUGAUGAUAUAGUGGCCUAUGCACUUUCAAUUGCAGAUGAUGAUGUUCCUUCUACUUACACAGAAGUAAUAAGUAACCCUGAUGGUGUAAAGUGGAAGCAAGCAAUGAAUGAAAAAAUGCAGUCUCUUCAUAAAAAUAAGACCUGGGAGUUGGUGACACUACCCAAGGGAAAGAAGGUAAUUGGAUGCAAAUGGGUAUAUGCAAAGAAGGAAGGAUUUCCUGAUAAAAAUGAAAUUCGAUACAAGGCUAGAUUGGUAGCAAAGGGUUACGCUCAGAAAGAAGGAAUAAACUACAAUGAAGUGUUUUCUCCAGUUGUGAAGCAUUCGUCUAUUCGGAUUUUGCUAGCCUUGGUUGCGCAAUAUGAUCUUGAACUAGUUCAGCUUGAUGUGAAGACCGCGUUUUUACACGGUGAUUUGGAAGAGGAAAUCUAUAUGACUCAGCCAGAUGGAUUCAAGGUUGCUGGAAAAGAAAAUUGGAUUUGCAAACUGACAAAGUCGCUUUAUGGAUUAAAGCAAUCUCCGAGGCAGUGGUACAAGCGAUUUGAUCAGUUCAUGAAAGGGCAAAGGUACACAAGAAGCAAAUUUGAUCAUUGUGUGUAUUUUCAAAAGCUACAAGAUGGAACUUUCAUAUACUUGCUCUUAUAUGUUGAUGAUAUGCUUAUAGUAUCUAAGAGCAGAGUUGAGAUUGAAAGAUUGAAGACUCAACUCAAUCUCGAGUUUGAGAUGAAAGAUCUAGGAGAAGCUAAAAAUAUUCUCGGCAUGGAAAUAUGGAGAGAUAGAGCUCAUGAUAGAGUUAGCUUGUCUCAGAAUCAGUAUUUGAAGAAGGUACUACAGCAUUUUGGCAUGAACGAGCAGACAAAACCUGUAAGUACCCCGUUGGCUUCUCAUUUCAAGCUUUCUGCACAACUAUCUCCUUCGACGAAUACGGAACGAGAAUACAUGUUGCAAGUUCCGUAUUCUAAUGUAGUGGGUAGCUUGAUGUAUGCAAUGGUGUGUACAAGACCCGACAUUUCACAGGCAGUUAGUAUAGUGUGCAGGUAUAUGCAUAAUCCUGGAAAAGGACAUUGGCAAGCUGUGAAAUGGAUUCUACGGUAUAUUCAGAAGACCGUAGAUGUUGGAUUACUGUUCAAGCAGGAUAAUACACUUGGUAAAGCUGUUAUUGGGUACGUUGAUUCUGACUAUGCCGGUGAUUUGGACAAGCGAAGAUCAACCACCGGUUAUGUGUUUACACUUACUGGAGGACCAAUAAGUUAGAAGUGUACACUACAGUCUACAGUUGCGUUGUCAACCACAGAAGUCGAGUACAUGGCUGUAACAGAGGCUGUAAAGGAGACUAUUUGGUUACAAGGUAUGGCUAAAACCUUGGGGUUGGUUCAGGAGCAUAUUAACGUGUAUUGUGAUAGUCAAAGUGCUAUUCAUUUAGCAAAGAAUCAAGUCUAUCAUGCACGUACAAAGCAUAUCGACGUACGAUUCCAUUUUGUGCGGGAAAUUAUUGAAGAAGGGAAAAUUUGUCUUCAGAAGAUCAAGACUGCAGAUAAUCCCGCAGAUAUGAUGACCAAGGUGGUAACAGCAACCAAGUUCGAACAUUGUUUGAACUUGAUCAAUAUCCUGCAAGUUUAACAGUUGAAGAAGGCACUCUCAAGUAUUGUUGUCAAAGGCAGAAAGAAUUAUGUGAAGAUAAGAUUAUCCUAAUCAAAUCUUAAAGGUGGAGAUUAUUGGAACCCACCCAUUGUUUGAAAAGUCAAAAAGGGUGGGCACCGAAAGUAGAAAGUAAAAUUGGUUGGCAAGUUGGGUUAAAAGUUGGCAUGGGAUAAUUGCAAUUUUGGUCCCUAAUUGUAUAGGGACAUUGCAAGUUGAUCUUUGAACCUCAACUAUAAAUAGGCCUAACCAUUUCUUACUUUCUUCAUCCACAUUUGCUAUUCUCUACUUAAGGCAUUGUUCUCUCUCCCUAUUUGUAAAAGUUUCACUUGUAUUUUGGAGUGAAAUAUAU